CUUGAAAGAGAAUCAAAUGAGAAAAAGUUGAAGGAGGAACCGGUAGUAGAUUUAUACGGUGAUGCAUCUUCUGAGACAUUUUAGAUUGUAAUCGAUACACUUUUUUGAAUAUAUUAUCGUAAAUGAUGUAAUCUUGAUACGGUUUAAUACCUAAGUAAUAUAUAUUAAGCAAUGAUGGUGUUAAUGUCGACUGUUUUAGUUUAUAAAUUUUAUGGUUUGCAUUUUUU
This 227-nucleotide long non-coding RNA is filed under the name Lathyrus oleraceus (garden pea). Its description in RNAcentral is "Pisum sativum (pea) long non-coding RNA (PSAT_LNC013334)". The record is from RNAcentral. Lineage: Eukaryota; Viridiplantae; Streptophyta; Magnoliopsida; Fabales; Fabaceae.